Molecule: ribosomal RNA, 515 nt
Filed under: uncultured bacterium
Lineage: Bacteria
Description: bacterial SSU rRNA
Rfam family: Bacterial small subunit ribosomal RNA
Source: RNAcentral
GAUGAACGCUAGCGGGAGGCUUAACACAUGCAAGUCGAGGGGCAGCAUAGGGUAGCAAUACUCUGAUGGCGACCGGCAAACGGGUGAGUAACGCGUAUGCAACCUACCCUGUACAGGGGGAUAACCCGGAGAAAUUCGGACUAAUAUCCCGUAAUAAUAUCCGGAGGCAUCUUUGGAUAUUUAAAGUUCCGACGGUACGGGAUGGGCAUGCGUAACAUUAACUGGUUGGUAAGGUAACGGCUUACCAAGGCUAUGAUGUUUAGGGGUCCUGAGAGGGUGGUCCCCCACACUGGUACUGAGACACGGACCAGACUCCUACGGGGGGCAGCAGUGAGGAAUAUUGGUCAAUGGGCGCAAGCCUGAACCAGCCAUCCCGCGUGCAGGAAGACGGCCCUAUGGGUUGUAAACUGCUUUUCCAGGGAGAGAAACUUACGCACGUGUUGCGUGACUGACGGUACCCUGGGAAUAAGCAUCGGCUAACUCCGUGCCAGCAGCCGCGGUAAACUCGUAGUCGU